Molecule: long non-coding RNA, 693 nt
Organism: Suricata suricatta (meerkat)
Lineage: Eukaryota; Metazoa; Chordata; Mammalia; Carnivora; Herpestidae
Exons: 3
Source: RefSeq, a predicted model, not a curated record
CUCUCUUACCUUCUCACUUGUUCACUUUGACAGAUCAAGGUAUUAUGCGGGGGAAUGCUGUGUGGAGAGGGCCAUGUCGCAAGAACUGAGGGUGGAAUGUAGCCGAAAUCUCAUGAGGAAUUGGAAGCUGCCAACAACCACCAGAGUGAGUUUGGAAGCUUCUUCUCCAAGAAAAGCCUGAUGGCUACACCCUUAGCCAAUAUAUGGACCACGUCCUUGUGAGAGAUGCAGAAGUACGGGACCCAGCAAACUCAUGGCUGGCUUCCUAUCCCACAUAUACUGUGAGGUGGAUCAUAAUUUUUUAUAAGUUGUUUUUAAACAAAAUAACUGAGAACUUAGUUGAGAAUCUGAGCUUCCAGUUAUAUAUGGCUGCAGGCAUCCUACCCCACCUCACUCUCCCCAUGCUUGAGUGUUUGUACCAUCAAGCAUGUGAUUCCAGAACAUUGAGCAGCCACUGCUUGGCAAAAGUCCACAGGAAUUGUGGGCAAAUAAGACCAGUUCUCAGAAAGAAAGACGACAACAGCCAAGAGAUGUCAAGCUGUGCCAUGAAUCCUUGGAUACAAUCAUGUCACCCCAGUGCUUCCCACUCACAUGGACUAAUACUCUUAUUGUGGUGUUUAAGAUACUUUGAAUGCAGUCUUUUUAAAGGGAAGUGUUCACACUUAAGAAGUAAUACAAAAAAACAUGCCGUGA